This 267-nucleotide ribosomal RNA is filed under the name Acinetobacter baumannii. Its description in RNAcentral is "partial 16S ribosomal RNA". It matches the Rfam family "Bacterial small subunit ribosomal RNA", at positions 165 to 434 of the family's 1533-position model. The record is from RNAcentral. Lineage: Bacteria; Pseudomonadati; Pseudomonadota; Gammaproteobacteria; Moraxellales; Moraxellaceae.
AAUACCGCAUACGUCCUACGGGAGAAAGCAGGGGAUCUUCGGACCUUGCGCUAAUAGAUGAGCCUAAGUCGGAUUAGCUAGUUGGUGGGGUAAAGGCCUACCAAGGCGACGAUCUGUAGCGGGUCUGAGAGGAUGAUCCGCCACACUGGGACUGAGACACGGCCCAGACUCCUACGGGAGGCAGCAGUGGGGAAUAUUGGACAAUGGGGGGAACCCUGAUCCAGCCAUGCCGCGUGUGUGAAGAAGGCCUUAUGGUUGUAAAGCACU